UACGGGGGGGGUAAGCGUUGUUCGGAAUUACUGGGCGUAAAGGGCUCGUAGGCGGCCAACUAAGUCAUACGUGAAAUCCCUCAGCUUAACUGGGGAACUGCGUGUGAUACUGGAUGGCUUGGAUUUGGGAGAGUGAUGCGGAAUUCCAGGUGUAGCGGUGAAAUGCGUAGAUAUCUGGAGGAACACCGGUGGCGAAGGCGGCGACCUGGGUGGAUACUGACGCUGAGGCGCGAAAGCGUGGGGAGCAAACAGG
Molecule: ribosomal RNA, 253 nt
Filed under: uncultured bacterium
Lineage: Bacteria
Description: partial 16S ribosomal RNA
Rfam family: Bacterial small subunit ribosomal RNA
Source: RNAcentral